GAGUACUUUACUAACUAUUACAAUAGUUUUCAUCAUUUUCAUUUCCAUCAUUCUCUUUAAAUGAAUACAUUUUUCAUCUCAAAAUGCAUAGCUCGCCAAGUCCUCACCUACAAUGAAUCUCUCGAAUACAUAGGUGUACUAAUGCAAAAAGGAAAGCUACUAACUACCACGGUCUCACUGAUCGGGCGCGAUGCCCUUGCCGCGGUCCUCCCUCGGCAACCCUGUACCUACCACUGGAAAUAGAGUAGGGUGAGAACUAUUUUCGAUAGUUCCCAGUGGGCUCGGCCGCCGACUCUGCCGAUCUCCCCACUAGGUCCUGGGCACAAGUAACAACAGAUAGAUAAAUAGAUAUGUAUCUGAAAACUGUAAAUGCAAUCGUAGGAAAACUAUGCUACUAUGCCUAUAAUCAUGAAUAUGAAUGCAUGCAUCAUAUAAUAAAGGUUUGCUACCAUGCUAACAAAUUCGAUCCAUGUUCGAAUAGCAAUGUUCAAUGACAUUAUUAAACCUUUACUCUUUCCAUUUACCCAAUCUGUAGCGAGGCCCUAGGGCUCGCCCAUAACUCACCCUUCAAUCCCAAAGUGGGGAGGGAGCUCCAAGUGCACCCAAGCCCGGGACCGUCUGCGGACCUCCAUAUGGUCCGGACCUCCAAGUGGUCCUAGUCGCGCGACACUCCGGAGUACUCGACGACAAUCCCCUCCAUGUGGGGAUUGGAUGGCUAUACCAUCCCAACGCAGACUGUGAGCUAGAUCUAUCCUCUCUAAGUGAGGAUGCCCUGCAUCUAGGGUCAAC
This 789-nucleotide long non-coding RNA is filed under the name Ananas comosus (pineapple). RNAcentral describes it as "long non-coding RNA (ACOM_LNC003245)". Lineage: Eukaryota; Viridiplantae; Streptophyta; Magnoliopsida; Poales; Bromeliaceae. The record is from RNAcentral.